CAAUAGCGUAUAUUAAAGUUGUUGCAGUUAAAAAGCUCGUAGUUGGAUUUCUGGUGGGAGCGAUCGGUCUGGCGCUUAGCGCGAGUACUUGCAUCGUCUCCGGCCAUCCUUGGGGAGAGUCUGUCUGGCAUUAAGUUGUCGGGCAGAGGAUCCUCAUCGUUUACUGUGAAAAAAUUAGAGUGUUCAAAGCAGGCUUAUGCCGUUGAAUAUAUUAGCAUGGAAUAAUAAGAUAGGACUUUGGUACUAUUUUGUUGGUUUGCGCACCAAAGUAAUGAUUAAUCGGGACAGUUGGGGGUAUUCGUAUUCCGUUGUCAGAGGUGAAAUUCUUGGAUUUACGGAAGACGAACUACUGCGAAAGCAUUUACCAAGGAUGUUUUCAUUAA
Molecule: ribosomal RNA, 383 nt
Filed under: uncultured eukaryote
Lineage: Eukaryota
Description: partial 18S ribosomal RNA
Rfam family: Eukaryotic small subunit ribosomal RNA
Source: RNAcentral